RNAcentral lists this unclassified non-coding RNA (381 nucleotides) under uncultured Gammaproteobacteria bacterium. RNAcentral's name for it is "contains 16S-23S intergenic spacer region". The record is from RNAcentral. Lineage: Bacteria; Pseudomonadati; Pseudomonadota; Gammaproteobacteria.
UCCGGUUUGUCACCGGCAGUCUCCUUAGAGUUCCCACCAUUACGUGCUGGCAACUAAGGACAAGGGUUGCGCUCGUUGCGGGACUUAACCCAACAUCUCACGACACGAGCUGACGACAGCCAUGCAGCACCUGUGUUGCGGUUCCCUUUCGGGCACCGAGACAUCUCUGCCCCGUUCCGCACAUGUCAAGGGUAGGUAAGGUUUUUCGCGUUGCAUCGAAUUAAUCCACAUAAUCCACCGCUUGUGCGGGUCCCCGUCAAUUCCUUUGAGUUUUAACCUUGCGGCCGUACUCCCCAGGCGGUCAACUUCACGCGUUAGCUUCGUUACUAAUGGGUUUAACCCCACCAACAACCAGUUGACAUCGUUUACAGCGUGGACUAC